CGCAAGCCCCGAUUGAAACGGCAUCCUUUUCUGAGGAGGAACGACGAGGAAAAGAUAGAGUGGAAAGCGGGAUUAAGC
This 78-nucleotide small RNA is filed under the name Flavobacteriaceae bacterium 3519-10. RNAcentral's name for it is "Flavo-1 RNA". It matches the Rfam family "Flavo-1 RNA". Lineage: Bacteria; Pseudomonadati; Bacteroidota; Flavobacteriia; Flavobacteriales; Flavobacteriaceae. The record is from Rfam by way of RNAcentral.